This 1788-nucleotide ribosomal RNA is filed under the name Triticum aestivum (bread wheat). Its description in RNAcentral is "partial small subunit ribosomal RNA". The record is from RNAcentral. Lineage: Eukaryota; Viridiplantae; Streptophyta; Magnoliopsida; Poales; Poaceae.
AUGGAUCUUGGAGGUCCACCGGCAUGGUCUCUCCGACGAGAACCAACAGGAAUGGUGGCCGCCGCAGGGAGCCCGUCCCUGAGCCCGCACUGCCGCCGGGAGCCCGCCCCUGCAACCCUUCGUCCCUUCUGUUUCCUUCCCGACGAAUGCUGCCGCCCCAUAACACAGGCGUCCAUGGGAGGAGAGGAGGAGCGUGACGCAAUAGACAUCUCCGACGCCGACGAGGGCGUCACCGCGCGUACCGGAUGGCAAGGCCAGUGCGCCGCGGUUGUGCACACCGGGGUUAAGCUCCUUACAAGUUGGCCCCACUUGUCAGAAAAUGAUCAAACGGGCCAAAUCACCCGAUCAGUGCUUUUUGCAAGGAGUUUAGUGAAAUCACGCUGUUUCCCCUGCUUGAGCGCGAGGAAGAAGGAGGUCCCACGUUCUGCCCCGGCCAAUGCACACACCAGCAGCGUCCCUGGCGCUGUGGCACGAACUUUCUCCUUGAAGGAGCUCGCGGCGGCGACAAGAAACUUCAGCUCUGACUGCCGCAUCGCUGGUCGGGAGGCGGAUCUUUACAAAGGCUUCCUCAAGAGCAUCAAUCAUGUUGUUGCUAUAAAGCUGCAGCAUGCUGUUGAUCCAAGUGGAUCAGGGGAGCAAGAUAAUAGAGAGUUUCUUGCCCACGCGCUGACGAUGAGCGGGCUGCGCCACCCAAAUAUUGUCAAUCUUAUCGGCUUUUGUGCGGAUGGCCAUCACCGGAUCUUGGUUCACGAGUACAUGCCAUUGGGUUCUCUGGAAGAUCACCUCCACGGCGCCUCGCCUUCUCCACCUCCGGCUACUUAUAUGCAUGCCAACAAUCUAGCUACAAAGCUUAUAACUGCGUUCAUGAUUCGUUUGAGGUUGUGUUCAUCUCCAGGCAAAGCACCGCUGGACUGGAACACGAGGAUGAACAUUGCCGCCGGUGUGGCCAGAGGGUUGGAGUAUAUGCACGACAAAGGUGUCCUCUACCGAUGCGUCAAAAGUUCGGACAUCUUGCUCGGAGACGGCUACCACCCAAAGCUGUCCCAAUAUGGACUGGCGGAGCAUGACAAGGGCUGGUGUACUGGUAUCGCCAUAAGGACGGCAUUGGGUACUAUGGCCCCCGAGACCGUGAUGACCGGGAAGCUGCUCCCGGGGUCGAGUGUUUACGGCUUGGACACCAGGACGCCGGGGAGGAUCGACACCUUGUCACAUGGGAGCCAGUUCCGCCGGAUGGCAGACCCGGCGCUGCAGGGACGAUAUCCGUCCUUGGACUUGCAGGAGGCCCUCGAAGUUGCUUCGUUGUGCAUCCACGACAAUCAUGCCAUGAGAGCGCCCAUCGGCACCGUCGUCACGGCUCUGUCUCGCCUCGCCUACGAUCAUCAGUCCCCCGGAGUACUAACCGGGAAACAGGUGGAGUACCUCCGUUUGAGGGGCAAAAUGGUAAUCCCCAGCUUUGUUUAUGAUUUUCUUGUGAUUAGCCUUCCUGCUCGUCCCCUCGUAUCCACCUGCGGCGGCGGCCUCUGCCCAGCCCAAAAAGCGGCCAACGGCGCAGGGUGCGCCUCGCCUUCUCCACCUCCGGCGACAUCAUCUGCAACAGCGGCCAUAGCGGCCAUAGUUGGCGAGGCACACGCGGCGUGGCGCGGAUCCGCGCCCAUGUCAGCCGGCGUUGGUGAGGCGCACGCCUCCCGGCUCGUCCCCUACUCCUCCAUCUCCGCUCGUCGAGCAGGACAUAUAUAUGAAUGGACACCACUAGGCAUCAAGUAUGGAGAAGAGAAAAUUAUGCAGUGA